RNAcentral lists this ribosomal RNA (1025 nucleotides) under uncultured bacterium. RNAcentral describes it as "bacterial SSU rRNA". It matches the Rfam family "Bacterial small subunit ribosomal RNA", at positions 483 to 1532 of the family's 1533-position model. The record is from RNAcentral.
UGAAUAAGGAUCGGCUAACUCCGUGCCAGCAGCCGCGGUCAUACGGAGGAUCCAAGCGUUAUCCGGAAUUACUGGGCGUAAAGAGUUGCGUAGGUGGCACUGUGUGUCAGUAGUGAAAGCGUGUGGCUCAACCAUAUACACAUUACUGAAACUGCAGAGCUAGAGGACGAGAGAGGUAACUGGAAUUCCUUGUGUAGGAGUGAAAUCCGUAGAUAUAAGGAGGAACACCGAUGGCGUAGGCAGGUUACUGGCUCGUUUCUGACACUAAGGCACGAAAGCGUGGGGAGCAAACGGGAUUAGAUACCCCGGUAGUCCACGCCGUAAACGAUGAAUGCUAGCUGUUAUGGGUAUCGACCCCCGUAGUAGCGAAGCUAACGCGUUAAGCAUUCCGCCUGUGGAGUACGGUCGCAAGACUAAAACAUAAAGGAAUUGACGGGGACCCGCACAAGCGGUGGAGCGUGUUGUUUAAUUCGAUGGUAAACGAAGAACCUUACCCAGGCUUGACAUCCAUGGAAUUUUUCCGAAAGGAAAGAGUGCUUUUAGAACCAUGUGACAGGUGUUGCAUGGCCGUCGUCAGCUCGUGUCGUGAGAUGUUUGGUUAAGUCCAUCAACGAGCGCAACCCUUAUGGUCUGUUGUAUUUCUCAGGCCAGACCGCCCCGGUAACGGGGAGGAAGGAGGGGAUGAUGUCAGGUCAGUAUUACCCUUACGUCUGGGGCUACAAACACGCUACAAUGGCCGGUACAAAGGGCAGCCAAGUCGCGAGACGGAGCAAAUCCCAUCAAAGCCGGUCUCAGUUCGGAUAGCAGGCUGAAACUCGCCUGCUUGAAGCCGGAAUCGCUAGUAACGGUAGGUCAGCUAUACUACCGUGAAUACGUUCCCGGGUCUUGUACACACCGCCCGUCAAACCAUGAAAGUCGGGGGUACCUGACGUGUGAGCUUUGCCUCGCCCUAAGGUAAACCAGAUGAUUGGGGUUAAGUCGUAACAAGGUAUCCGUACGGGAACGUGCGGAUGGAUUACCUCCUU